This 446-nucleotide ribosomal RNA is filed under the name uncultured bacterium. RNAcentral describes it as "SSU rRNA". It matches the Rfam family "Bacterial small subunit ribosomal RNA", at positions 26 to 518 of the family's 1533-position model. The record is from RNAcentral.
AGAGCGAACGCUGGCGGCAGGCCUAGCACAUGCAAGUCGAGCGCGUGUAGCAAUACACGAGCGGCAGACGGGAGAGUAACACGUGGGAACGCGCCCUUCGGUUCGGAAUAACUCAGGGAAACUUGCGCUAAUACCGGAUACGCCCUUACGGGGAAAGAUUUAUUGCCGAAGGAACGGCCCGCGUCCGAUUAGCUAGUUGGUGAGGUAACGGCUCACCAAGGCGACGAUCGGUAGCUGGUCUGAGAGGAUGACCAGCCUCACUGGGACUGAGACACGGCCCAGACUCCUACGGGAGGCAGCAGUGGGGAAUAUUGGACAAUGGGCGCAGGCCUGAUCCAGCCAUGCCGCGUGGAUGAUGAAGGCCUUAGGGUUGUAAAGUCCUUUUAACGGGGAGAUAAUGACGGUACCCGUAGAAUAAGCCCGGCUAACUUCGUGCCAGCAGCCGC